GGAGAGGCCCAUGUCGGCGGCGCUGACCUCGGCGUUCGCGUCCUCGAACAUGAGGUUGAACUUGUCUCCGGUCUUGAGCGUGAAGCAGUGGAAUGCGUCAUUCACGCCCGCCUUGGCGCACUCAGCCUUGCAGACGUGCUUGGGGCAGGUGGCGCCCCACUGCGUGGCCUUGCCGUAGGAUCCCUUGAACUCGUUGCAGGUGCCGAGGUAGGUGUCGAUGCGAUCGGUGCCGCAAGGGCUCUUCUCGGCGUUCUUGCUGUCGCACUUGCCAUAGCAACUGUAGGAUCCGGGUUCGGCCUGGAGCGUGGUCUUCUCCGCGUCGGUGAGAUCCGCGGGGGGCUUGCCC
Molecule: long non-coding RNA, 346 nt
Filed under: Micromonas commoda
Lineage: Eukaryota; Viridiplantae; Chlorophyta; Mamiellophyceae; Mamiellales; Mamiellaceae
Description: long non-coding RNA (MCOM_LNC000231)
Source: RNAcentral